RNAcentral lists this ribosomal RNA (253 nucleotides) under uncultured bacterium. Its description in RNAcentral is "partial 16S ribosomal RNA". It matches the Rfam family "Bacterial small subunit ribosomal RNA", at positions 524 to 776 of the family's 1533-position model. The record is from RNAcentral.
UACGUAGGGUGCAAGCGUUAAUCGGAAUUACUGGGCGUAAAGCGUGCGCAGGCGGUUUUGUAAGUCUGACGUGAAAUCCCCGGGCUCAACCUGGGAAUUGCGAUGAAGACUGCAAGGCUAGAAUCUGGCAGAGGGGGGUAGAAUUCCACGUGUAGCAGUGAAAUGCGUAGAGAUGUGGAGGAACACCGAUGGCGAAGGCAGCCCCCUGGGUCAAGAUUGUCGCUCAUGCACGAAAGCGUGGGGAGCAAACAGG